UAGUGUUACAGCUCUUUUAGAAUUUGUCUAGUUACAUUUCACUGAAAAAUCUCCA
This is a small nuclear RNA of Pongo abelii (Sumatran orangutan), 55 nucleotides long. Its record names the gene U7. It matches the Rfam family "U7 small nuclear RNA". Rfam says of the family: Animal histone pre-mRNAs are spliced by a different mechanism than nuclear pre-mRNAs and self-splicing introns. This processing involves the U7 snRNP, which contains only one RNA species: U7. The record is from Ensembl. NCBI's taxonomy places the organism in Eukaryota, Metazoa, Chordata, Mammalia, Primates, Hominidae.